RNAcentral lists this ribosomal RNA (389 nucleotides) under uncultured bacterium. RNAcentral describes it as "bacterial SSU rRNA". It matches the Rfam family "Bacterial small subunit ribosomal RNA", at positions 30 to 417 of the family's 1533-position model. The record is from RNAcentral.
AUUGAACGCUGGCGGCAUGCCUUACACAUGCAAGUCGAACGGCAGCACGGGAGCUUGCUCCUGGUGGCGAGUGGCGAACGGGUGAGUAAUACAUCGGAACGUACCCUGAAGUGGGGGAUAACGUAGCGAAAGUUACGCUAAUACCGCAUAUUCUGUGAGCAGGAAAGAGGGGGAUCGCAAGACCUCUUGCUUUAGGAGCGGCCGAUGUCGGAUUAGCUAGUUGGUGAGGUAAAGGCUCACCAAGGCGACGAUCCGUAGCGGGUCUGAGAGGAUGAUCCGCCACACUGGGACUGAGACACGGCCCAGACUCCUACGGGAGGCAGCAGUGGGGAAUUUUGGACAAUGGGCGCAAGCCUGAUCCAGCCAUGCCGCGUGCAGGAUGAAGGCCU